CAGCUAAUGAAUUGAUACGGGAGAUUGCCACAUUGGAGCUAGAGGUGAAGAAUAUGGAGCAGUAUCUCCUGACACUGUACCGGAAAGCAUUUGAGCAGCAAGCGCCUGCAUUUUCUCCCCCUGAUGCUGCUCCUGCAUUUUCUCCACCUGAUCGACGGGAAGCUUCGAAGAUGUCAGUGAGCUCACGUUCCGGGCAGCUCCGGGAAACGCCCGUGGCAAUGAAGUCUUGCAAGAGCAGAGGGGAUGCAGCGC
This 252-nucleotide long non-coding RNA is filed under the name Sorghum bicolor (sorghum). RNAcentral's name for it is "long non-coding RNA (SBIC_LNC000105)". The record is from RNAcentral. Lineage: Eukaryota; Viridiplantae; Streptophyta; Magnoliopsida; Poales; Poaceae.